CAUGUCCUACGGGGGGCAGCAGUGGGGAAUAUUGCACAAUGGGGGAAACCCUGAUGCAGCGACGCCGCGUGAGUGAAGAAGUAAUUCGUUAUGUAAAGCUCUAUCAGCAGGGAAGAAAAUGACGGUACCUGAGUAAGAAGCCCCGGCUAACUACGUGCCAGCAGCCGCGGUAAUACGUAGGGGGCAAGCGUUAUCCGGAUUUAUUGGGCGUAAAGAGUUCGUAGGCGGUUUGUUAAGUCUAAAAUUCAAGCCCGAGGCUUAACCUCGGUUCGUUUUAGAAACUGGCAAACUUGAGUGUGGUAGAG
This 305-nucleotide ribosomal RNA is filed under the name uncultured bacterium. RNAcentral's name for it is "bacterial SSU rRNA". It matches the Rfam family "Bacterial small subunit ribosomal RNA", at positions 333 to 656 of the family's 1533-position model. The record is from RNAcentral.